UGAGGAAUAUUGGUCAAUGGGCGAGAGCCUGAACCAGCCAAGUAGCGUGCAGGAUGACGGCCCUAUGGGUUGUAAACUGCUUUUAUAUGGGGAUAAAGUGAGGGACGUGUCCCUUAUUGCAUGUACCAUACGAAUAAGGACCGGCUAAUUCCGUGCCAGCAGCCGCGGUAAUACGGAAGGUCCAGGCGUUAUCCGGAUUUAUUGGGUUUAAAGGGAGCGUAGGCUGUUUGUUAAGCGUGUUGUGAAAUGUAGGAGCUCAACUUUUAGAUUGCAGCGCGAACUGGCAGACUUGAGUGCGCACAACGUAGGCGGAAUUCAUGGUGUAGCGGUGAAAUGCUUAGAUAUCAUGACGAACUCCGAUUGCGAAGGCAGCUUACGGGAGCGCAACUGACGCUAAAGCUCGAAGGUGCGGGUAUCGAACAGG
RNAcentral lists this ribosomal RNA (424 nucleotides) under Verrucomicrobiota bacterium. Its description in RNAcentral is "Verrucomicrobia bacterium partial 16S ribosomal RNA". It matches the Rfam family "Bacterial small subunit ribosomal RNA", at positions 355 to 776 of the family's 1533-position model. The record is from RNAcentral. Lineage: Bacteria; Pseudomonadati; Verrucomicrobiota.